This 253-nucleotide ribosomal RNA is filed under the name uncultured bacterium. RNAcentral's name for it is "partial 16S ribosomal RNA". It matches the Rfam family "Bacterial small subunit ribosomal RNA", at positions 524 to 776 of the family's 1533-position model. The record is from RNAcentral.
UACGUAGGGUGCGAGCGUUGUCCGGAAUUACUGGGCGUAAAGAGCUCGUAGGCGGUUUGUCGCGUCUGCCGUGAAAGUCCGGGGCUCAACUCCGGAUCUGCGGUGGGUACGGGCAGGCUAGAGUUCGGUAGGGGAGACUGGAAUUCCUGGUGUAGCGGUGAAAUGCGCAGAUAUCAGGAGGAACACCGAUGGCGAAGGCAGGUCUCUGGGCCGAUACUGACGCUGAGGAGCGAAAGCGUGGGGAGCGAACAGG